This 424-nucleotide ribosomal RNA is filed under the name Verrucomicrobiota bacterium. Its description in RNAcentral is "Verrucomicrobia bacterium partial 16S ribosomal RNA". It matches the Rfam family "Bacterial small subunit ribosomal RNA", at positions 355 to 776 of the family's 1533-position model. The record is from RNAcentral. Lineage: Bacteria; Pseudomonadati; Verrucomicrobiota.
UGAGGAAUAUUGGUCAAUGGGCGUGAGCCUGAACCAGCCAAGUAGCGUGCAGGAAGACGGCCCUAUGGGUUGUAAACUGCUUUUAUGCGGGGAUAAAGGAGUCCACGUGUGGAUUUUUGCAGGUACCGCAUGAAUAAGGACCGGCUAAUUCCGUGCCAGCAGCCGCGGUAAUACGGAAGGUCCGGGCGUUAUCCGGAUUUAUUGGGUUUAAAGGGAGCGUAGGCCGCGUUUUAAGCGUGUUGUGAAAUGUAGACGCCCAACGUCUGCAUCGCAGCGCGAACUGGGACGCUUGAGUACGCGCAACGUGGGCGGAAUUCGUCGUGUAGCGGUGAAAUGCGUAGAUAUGACGGGGAACUCCGAUUGCGAGGGCAGCUGACGGGAGCGGCACUGACGCUUAAGCUCGAAGGUGCGGGUAUCAAACAGG